UCUCUCUAAACUCUCUCUCUCUAAAUUCUCUCUACACUCUCAGUCAAGGGAAAAUGAGGAAAAAAUAAAAGGAAUUGGAGAGAAGAGUGAACGGGGAAGGCUUUAAAUAGCCAUAAAGAAAGGAUGUGCGCCACGUUACGACAUGCACGACUGACAUAUGGCAAUUGAUUGAGGGAUCUAACCGACAACGAACGUUGACCGAGGAGAAGGUUGCAGGUGGCAUGACGGCU
This 230-nucleotide long non-coding RNA is filed under the name Carica papaya (papaya). Its description in RNAcentral is "long non-coding RNA (CPAP_LNC011400)". The record is from RNAcentral. Lineage: Eukaryota; Viridiplantae; Streptophyta; Magnoliopsida; Brassicales; Caricaceae.